CGGCUCCAUGUGUUAUAAAUAGCCGCAGCUAAUUUCACUGUGGCUAAGGUAGCAUAAUCAUUAGCCUUUUAAUUAAAGGCUAGAAUGAAGGAUUUAACUCUUUAAUUUCUUUUUUUUUAAAAAUUAUUUAACUUAAAUUAGGAAUAAAAAUGUUCUUAUUAUAUAAAAAGACGACAAGACCCUAUUGAACUUUACUUAAGUUUAGCUGGGGAAGCUAAUUAAAUAUCAUUUUAAUUUUUCUUUUUAAAAAAAUAUCCAUUAUAAAUGAUUUAACAAGUUACCAUAGGGAUAACAGCGUAAUUCUUUUUAAAAGCUCUUAUAUAAAAAAGAGAUUACGACCUCGAUGUUGAAUUAAUUUUACUUUAUAACGCAACCGUACCAAAAGUGGGUCUGUUCGACCCUUAAAUAAUUACAUGAUCUGAGUUCAAACCGGA
RNAcentral lists this ribosomal RNA (434 nucleotides) under Neriene oidedicata. RNAcentral's name for it is "partial 16S ribosomal RNA". It matches the Rfam family "Bacterial large subunit ribosomal RNA", at positions 1859 to 2620 of the family's 2925-position model. Lineage: Eukaryota; Metazoa; Arthropoda; Arachnida; Araneae; Linyphiidae. The record is from RNAcentral.